Ctenocephalides felis (cat flea) is the source of this 328-nucleotide long non-coding RNA. RefSeq lists it as uncharacterized. Lineage: Eukaryota; Metazoa; Arthropoda; Insecta; Siphonaptera; Pulicidae. The record is from RefSeq and is a predicted model, not a curated record. The transcript is spliced from 3 exons.
AAAUUGCACAAAAUGUUUGUGCCCGAAUCCUUCGAUGUCCUUAUUUUAUUCGGCAAUAUUAAGGUGCAAAAUAAUGGAUCGAUAACAUAUAAAAGGACAUCUCACUGUGUAUCAGAAUGAUGAUGCAUGAAAUAUUUCCGACAUGAAACUAUUGUGCAAAAGGAUGCAUCGAGUGCCUGAAUAUAUUGCUUUGCAGUUGUACUAUAAAAUGGGGUGCAUUCGGAAGGUGUAUCAUAUUUCGAAGACCGCAACACGAGGUUUUCGCACGUUCGCAAAUUGGUCAGUUCACACCUGGAAAAUCAACCAAGGGAAAAACAACAACCGACCA